AGGGUUUGAUUAUGGCUCAGGACGAACGCUGGCGGCGCGCCUAACACAUGCAAGUCGAACGAGAGAGAGGGAGCUUGCUUCCUCGAUCGAGUGGCGAACGGGUGAGUAACGCGUGAGGAACCUGCCUCAAAGAGGGGGACAACAGUUGGAAACGACUGCUAAUACCGCAUAAGCCCACGACCUGGCAUCGGGUUGAGGGAAAAGGAGCAAUCCGCUUUGAGAUGGCCUCGCGUCCGAUUAGCUAGUUGGUGAGGUAACGGCCCACCAAGGCAACGAUCGGUAGCCGGACUGAGAGGUUGAACGGCCACAUUGGGACUGAGACACGGCCCAG
This 331-nucleotide ribosomal RNA is filed under the name uncultured bacterium. RNAcentral's name for it is "bacterial SSU rRNA". It matches the Rfam family "Bacterial small subunit ribosomal RNA", at positions 8 to 334 of the family's 1533-position model. The record is from RNAcentral.